GCCCCAGUGGUGGAAUUGGUAGACGCGGCAGACUCAAAAUCUGCUAUCGGCAACGAUGUGGGGGUUCAAGUCCCUCCUGGGGCACCA
Molecule: transfer RNA, 87 nt
Filed under: Alphaproteobacteria bacterium
Lineage: Bacteria; Pseudomonadati; Pseudomonadota; Alphaproteobacteria
Description: tRNA-Leu
Rfam family: tRNA
About the family: Transfer RNA (tRNA) molecules are approximately 80 nucleotides in length. Their secondary structure includes four short double-helical elements and three loops (D, anti-codon, and T loops).
Source: RNAcentral